CAGCCGCCACGGUAAUACGUAGGUGGCAAGCGUUGUCCGGAAUUAUUGGGCGUAAAGCGCGCGCAGGCGGAUCAGUCAGUCUGUCUUAAAAGUUCGGGGCUUAACCCCGUGAUGGGAUGGAAACUGCUGAUCUAGAGUAUCGGAGAGGAAAGUGGAAUUCCUAGUGUAGCGGUGAAAUGCGUAGAUAUUAGGAAGAACACCAGUGGCGAAGGCGACUUUCUGGACGAAAACUCACGCUGAGGCGCGAAAGCGUGGGGAGCAAUCAGGAUUAGAUACCCCCGUAGUCCCUGUCUCUUAUACC
This 301-nucleotide ribosomal RNA is filed under the name uncultured bacterium. Its description in RNAcentral is "partial 16S ribosomal RNA". It matches the Rfam family "Bacterial small subunit ribosomal RNA", at positions 509 to 808 of the family's 1533-position model. The record is from RNAcentral.